This 210-nucleotide unclassified non-coding RNA is filed under the name uncultured Chrysozymaceae. RNAcentral's name for it is "sequence contains ITS2". The record is from RNAcentral. Lineage: Eukaryota; Fungi; Basidiomycota; Microbotryomycetes.
ACUCUUCAACCCACCGGUUUCUUGUUAAAUUGGAUGGUGUUUGGAUUUUGAGUGUUGCUAGUCUUCAGACGUAGCUCAUUCGUAAUAUAUUAGCAUCUCAAUUUCGAACUUCGGAUUGACUCAGCGUGAUAGACUAUUCGCUGAGGACACCUCUGGGUGGCCGAAUGAGAAGACAGUAGAAGCUCCUAAACAGAUCUUAGUCAAUUUAAA